CCCUUAGAUGUUCUGGGCCGCACGCGCGCUACACUGACGAAGUCAGCGAGCAUGUCCUACGCCGACAGGUGCGGGGAAUCUUGUCAAACUUCGUCGUGAUGGGGAUUGAUUAUUGAAAUUCUUGAUCAUCAACGAGGAAUUCCUAGUAAGCGCAAGUCAGCAGCUUGCGUUGAUUACGUCCCUGCCCUUUGUACACACCGCCCGUCGCUACUACCGAUUGAAUGGUUUAGUGAGAUCUUCGGAUUGGCGCCACUGCGGCUCAGCACUGGGCUCGGUGGAUGCCGAAAAGUUGAUCAAACUUGAUCAUUUAGAGGAAGUAAAAGUCGUAACA
RNAcentral lists this ribosomal RNA (331 nucleotides) under uncultured eukaryote. RNAcentral's name for it is "partial 18S ribosomal RNA". It matches the Rfam family "Eukaryotic small subunit ribosomal RNA", at positions 1470 to 1796 of the family's 1831-position model. The record is from RNAcentral.